RNAcentral lists this ribosomal RNA (428 nucleotides) under uncultured bacterium. RNAcentral's name for it is "bacterial SSU rRNA". It matches the Rfam family "Bacterial small subunit ribosomal RNA", at positions 69 to 543 of the family's 1533-position model. The record is from RNAcentral.
AGACCUUCGGGUCUAGUGGCGCACGGGUGCGUAACGCGUGGGAAUCUGCCCUUGGGUUCGGGAUAACAGUUGGAAACGACUGCUAAUACCGGAUGAUGACUACGGUCCAAAGAUUUAUCGCCCAGGGAUGAGCCCGCGUCGGAUUAGCUUGUUGGUGAGGUAAAAGCUCACCAGGGCGACGAUCCGUAGCUGGUCUGAGAGGAUGAUCAGCCACACUGGGACUGAGACACGGCCCAGACUCCUACGGGAGGCAGCAGUGGGGAAUAUUGGACAAUGGGCGAAAGCCUGAUCCAGCAAUGCCGCGUGAGUGAUGAAGGCCUUAGGGUUGUAAAGCUCUUUUACCCGGGAUGAUAAUGACAGUACCGGGAGAAUAAGCUCCGGCUAACUCCGUGCCAGCAGCCGCGGUAAUACGGAGGGAGCUAGCGUUG